AGUGAACGCUGGCGGUAGGCCUAACACAUGCAAGUCGAACGGCAGCACAGGAGAGCUUGCUCUCUGGGUGGCGAGUGGCGGACGGGUGAGGAAUACAUCGGAAUCUACUCUGUCGUGGGGGAUAACGUAGGGAAACUUACGCUAAUACCGCAUACGACCUACGGGUGAAAGCAGGGGACCUUCGGGCCUUGCGCGAUUGAAUGAGCCGAUGUCGGUUUAGCUAGUUGGCGGGGUAAAGGCCCACCAAGGCGACGAGCCGUAGCUGGUCUGAGAGGAUGAUCAGCCACACUGGAACGGAGACACUGGACAGACUCGUACGGGAGGCAGCGGUGGGGAAUAUUGGACAAUUGGGGCAAGCGUGAUCCAGCCAUACCGCGUGGGUGAAGAAGGCAGUCGGGUUGUAAAGCCCUUUUGUUGGGAAAGAAAUCCAGCUGGCUAAUACCCGGUUGGGAUGACGGUACCCAAAGAAUAAGCACCGGCUAACUUCGUGCCAGCCGCCGCCGUAA
Molecule: ribosomal RNA, 506 nt
Filed under: uncultured bacterium
Lineage: Bacteria
Description: partial 16S ribosomal RNA
Rfam family: Bacterial small subunit ribosomal RNA
Source: RNAcentral